UACGGAGGGGGCUAGCGUUGUUCGGAAUUACUGGGCGUAAAGCGCACGUAGGCGGUUUUUUAAGUUAGAGGUGAAAGCCCGGAGCUCAACUUAGGAAUUGCCUUUAAGACUGAAUCACUUGAACGUGGGAGAGGUGUGUGGAAUUCCGAGUGUAGAGGUGAAAUUCGUAGAUAUUCGGAAGAACACCAGUGGCGAAGGCGGAUCCCUGGACGACUGUUGACGCUGAGGUGCGAAAGCGUGGGGAGCAAACAGG
RNAcentral lists this ribosomal RNA (253 nucleotides) under uncultured bacterium. RNAcentral describes it as "partial 16S ribosomal RNA". It matches the Rfam family "Bacterial small subunit ribosomal RNA", at positions 524 to 776 of the family's 1533-position model. The record is from RNAcentral.